Molecule: long non-coding RNA, 812 nt
Organism: Peromyscus leucopus (white-footed mouse)
Lineage: Eukaryota; Metazoa; Chordata; Mammalia; Rodentia; Cricetidae
Exons: 3
Source: RefSeq, a predicted model, not a curated record
GUGAAUCUAGAUCUAGAUCUAUCUAUCUAUCUAUCUAUCUAUCUAUCUAUCUAUCUAUCUAUCUACCUAUAUACACUCUUUAGGUUCCUAGCCAGGGGCUUCUCUACACGUUUGAAUAUCUUUAAUUCAAACUUUUGAAACAUUUGGAAAGUUCCUCCCAGUCAUGGAGCGAGAGUUGGUAAAGCUUAUCCUGUGGAGUUUCUUUGCUGUUCCCACACUGACGGAUGCGGGUAUCUUCUGCCAGCACCUGUUCUCAACGUAGGGGCCGUGACCCCUCUGGAAGUCGAUCGCCUCUUUCACAGGGGUCGUCUAAAAAAAAAAAAAAAACCAUCUGCCUAUCAGCUGUUGCUGAUGAGUGAACUCUAAGGCCAUGACGACGGUGGUUCUUCUGAAUGUCGUCAAAGAGACAGUGGGGCUUCUGAACCAAUGUGUGCUGUGCCUUCUCCAACUCAACGGAAUCCUGGUCCAUUUGAUGGUCACUUACUCUACUCUAGUGGAGCAAUUGCUAUGGUCAACCGAGGUUAAACAGCUCUCGCUUAAAACGGCACAACAGACCGAGAGAUGCGGUGGCUCAUGCCUGUCACCUUGGAUUGUUGGCUGAGAAAGGAUUGCUUCAGCCCAAGUGUUAGAAAUCAAUCUGGGAAACACAGUGAGACCUACUUCCAAAAAUAAACAAAUAAAAACAAAACAACACCCGCCCUCAGUCAAAGUACCAGAGUAGGACCUCAAACCAAGGUGUAUCACACGUCUUUCCACACCGAAUCCCAUUGUGUCAAGGUGGAAUCUUAUUUACGUAGUGGCCCAGACCAAAA